UCCUACGGGAGGCAGCAGUAGGGAAUCUUCGGCAAUGGGGGCAACCCUGACCGAGCAACGCCGCGUGAGUGAAGAAGGUUUUCGGAUCGUAAAGCUCUGUUGUAAGAGAAGAACGUGUGUGAGAGUGGAAAGUUCACACAGUGACGGUAACUUGCCAGAAAGGGACGGCUAACUACGUGCCAGCAGCCGCGGUAAUACGU
This 200-nucleotide ribosomal RNA is filed under the name uncultured bacterium. RNAcentral's name for it is "partial 16S ribosomal RNA". It matches the Rfam family "Bacterial small subunit ribosomal RNA", at positions 337 to 528 of the family's 1533-position model. The record is from RNAcentral.